Molecule: ribosomal RNA, 1506 nt
Filed under: metagenome
Description: bacterial SSU rRNA
Rfam family: Bacterial small subunit ribosomal RNA
Source: RNAcentral
AGAGUUUGAUCCUGGCUCAGGACGAACGCUGGCGGCGUGCCUAAUACAUGCAAGUAGAACGCUGAAGAGAGGAGCUUGCUCUUCUUGGAUGAGUUGCGAACGGGUGAGUAACGCGUAGGUAACCUGCCUUGUAGCGGGGGAUAACUAUUGGAAACGAUAGCUAAUACCGCAUAACAAUGGAUGACCCAUGUCAUUUAUUUGAAAGGGGCAAAUGCUCCACUACAAGAUGGACCUGCGUUGUAUUAGCUAGUAGGUGAGGUAACGGCUCACCUAGGCGACGAUACAUAGCCGACCUGAGAGGGUGAUCGGCCACACUGGGACUGAGACACGGCCCAGACUCCUACGGGAGGCAGCAGUAGGGAAUCUUCGGCAAUGGGGGCAACCCUGACCGAGCAACGCCGCGUGAGUGAAGAAGGUUUUCGGAUCGUAAAGCUCUGUUGUAAGUCAAGAACGAGUGUGAGAGUGGAAAGUUCACACUGUGACGGUAGCUUACCAGAAAGGGACGGCUAACUACGUGCCAGCAGCCGCGGUAAUACGUAGGUCCCGAGCGUUGUCCGGAUUUAUUGGGCGUAAAGCGAGCGCAGGCGGUUUGAUAAGUCUGAAGUUAAAGGCUGUGGCUCAACCAUAGUUCGCUUUGGAAACUGUCAAACUUGAGUGCAGAAGGGGAGAGUGGAAUUCCAUGUGUAGCGGUGAAAUGCGUAGAUAUAUGGAGGAACACCGGUGGCGAAAGCGGCUCUCUGGUCUGUAACUGACGCUGAGGCUCGAAAGCGUGGGGAGCGAACAGGAUUAGAUACCCUGGUAGUCCACGCCGUAAACGAUGAGUGCUAGGUGUUGGAUCCUUUCCGGGAUUCAGUGCCGCAGCUAACGCAUUAAGCACUCCGCCUGGGGAGUACGACCGCAAGGUUGAAACUCAAAGGAAUUGACGGGGGCCCGCACAAGCGGUGGAGCAUGUGGUUUAAUUCGAAGCAACGCGAAGAACCUUACCAGGCCUUGACAUCCCGAUGCUAUUUCUAGAGAUAGAAAGUUACUUCGGUACAUCGGUGACAGGUGGUGCAUGGUUGUCGUCAGCUCGUGUCGUGAGAUGUUGGGUUAAGUCCCGCAACGAGCGCAACCCCUAUUGUUAGUUGCCAUCAUUCAGUUGGGCACUCUAGCGAGACUGCCGGUAAUAAACCGGAGGAAGGUGGGGAUGACGACAAAUCAUCAUGCCCCUUAUGACCUGGGCUACACACGUGCUACAAUGGUUGGUACAACGAGUUGCGAGUCGGUGACGGCAAGCUAAUCUCUUAAAGCCAAUCUCAGUUCGGAUUGUAGGCUGCAACUCGCCUACAUGAAGUCGGAAUCGCUAGUAAUCGCGGAUCAGCACGCCGCGGUGAAUACGUUCCCGGGCCUUGUACACACCGCCCGUCACACCACGAGAGUUUGUAACACCCGAAGUCGGUGAGGUAACCUUUUGGAGCCAGCCGCCUAAGGUGGGAUAGAUGAUUGGGGUGAAGUCGUAACAAGGUA